CCCUUAGAUGUUCUGGGCCGCACGCGCGCUACACUGAUGCAUUCAACGAGUUUUACCUUGGCCGAGAGGCCUGGGCAAUCUUUUAAACCUGCAUCGUGAUAGGGAUAGAUUAUUGCAAUUAUUAAUCUUGAACGAGGAAUUCCUAGUAAGCGCAAGUCAACAGCUUGCGUUGAUUACGUCCCUGCCCUUUGUACACACCGCCCGUCGCUACUACUGAUUGGAUGUUUAAGCGAGGUUCUCGAACUGCUAGCGACUUAGCUUCGGUGAGGUCGCAGUGUGGGAAGUGAACCUAGCUUUGGUGUCUAGAGGAAGUAAAAGUCGUAACA
This 326-nucleotide ribosomal RNA is filed under the name uncultured eukaryote. Its description in RNAcentral is "partial 18S ribosomal RNA". It matches the Rfam family "Eukaryotic small subunit ribosomal RNA", at positions 1470 to 1796 of the family's 1831-position model. The record is from RNAcentral.